GAUGAAGAACGUAGCGAAAUGCGAUACUUGGUGUGAAUUGCAGAAUCCCGUGAACCAUCGAGUCUUUGAACGCAAGUCGCGCCCGAAGCCACUAGGCCGAGGGCACGCCUGCCUGGGCGUCACACGCCGUUGCCCCCCCAUCUACUCCUUCGGGAUUGCGGGGGGGCGGAUGAUGGCCUCCCGUGCGCCUAGCCGCGCGGUUGGCAUAAAUACCAAGUCCUCGGCGACGCACGCCACGACAAUCGGUGGUUGCGAAACCUCGGUUGCCCGUCGUGUGCGUUCGUCGCGCAUCGAGGGCUCGAAAAAAUGCUCGGCUCCGGCUGGGCUUUCAACGCGACCCCAGGUCAGGCGGGGUUACCCGCUGAAUUUAAGCAUAUCAAUAAGCGGAGGA
RNAcentral lists this unclassified non-coding RNA (391 nucleotides) under soil metagenome. RNAcentral's name for it is "partial contains 5.8S ribosomal RNA, internal transcribed spacer 2, and large subunit ribosomal RNA". The stretch from base 1 to 122 matches the Rfam family "5.8S ribosomal RNA", at positions 35 to 154 of the family's 154-position model. The record is from RNAcentral.